This is a ribosomal RNA of Chelonoidis abingdonii (Abingdon island giant tortoise), 116 nucleotides long. The record is from Ensembl. NCBI's taxonomy places the organism in Eukaryota, Metazoa, Chordata, Testudines, Testudinidae.
GCUUGUAUCCCUGUCAUCUUGGCUGUGGUCUUGUUAGAUCUCACAAGCUAAGCAGGGUCUAGCUAGGUAAAUACAAGGGUGAGAAACACCCAAGGAAUGCCUAUGGGCUGCAGGAA